RNAcentral lists this unclassified non-coding RNA (287 nucleotides) under uncultured fungus. RNAcentral describes it as "partial contains small subunit ribosomal RNA, internal transcribed spacer 1, and 5.8S ribosomal RNA". The stretch from base 1 to 73 matches the Rfam family "Eukaryotic small subunit ribosomal RNA", at positions 1759 to 1831 of the family's 1831-position model. Lineage: Eukaryota; Fungi. The record is from RNAcentral.
UCAAACUUGGUCAUUUAGAGGAAGUAAAAGUCGUAACAAGGUUUCCGUAGGUGAACCUGCGGAAGGAUCAUUAACAAAUCUUCAACACAAACCCUGUGUAAACGUUUGCGUUCCCUUGCGUGGGAGCAUGUGAGAUGGGUGAGGCUAGGCAACUGGCCCCACUCGUCGCCACGCCACCCCAAGGGAUCGUCUUUAUUAUACUAUUGAUUGACAGCCUAGAUACAAAGUUAACUAAAACAACUUUUAACAAUGGAUCUCUUGGCUCUUGCAUCGAUGAAGAACGCAGC